Molecule: long non-coding RNA, 2223 nt
Filed under: Homo sapiens (human)
Lineage: Eukaryota; Metazoa; Chordata; Mammalia; Primates; Hominidae
Description: HSALNT0023236
Source: RNAcentral
GGUAUAUACCCAAAAGAAAGGAAGUCAGUAUAUCAAAGAGGUAUCUGCACUCCCAUGUUUGUUGCAGCAGUGUUCACAAUAGCCAAGAUUUGGAAGCAACCCAAGGGUCCAUCAACAGACCAAUGGAUAAGAAAGUAUAUACACAUUCACACAAUGGAGCACUAUUUGGCCAUAAAAAGAAUGAGAUCCUCUCAUUUGCAACAAUAUAGAUGGAACUGGAGAUCAUUAUGUUAUAAAGUGAAAUAAACCAAAUACAGAAAGAGAAACUUCACAUGUUCUCACUUCUUUGUGGAAAAUUAAAACAAUCAAAUUCAUGGAGCCACAGAUAUUAACAAUUAAAUGAGUGAAAAAAAUUUAUAAGCUAUCAUCGUACCUAAGGUAACCUACAUUUUCUCCUAUGAUAUAUUCCAGGACAUUUCUAGUUUGCAUUUUACUUUUAGGUCUAUGAUCCCUUUGAAUAAUUUUUUUUUUUUUUUUGAGACAGAAUCUCACCCUGUCACCCAGGCUGGAGUGCAGUGGCGUGAUCUUGUCUCACCUCCGCCUCCCAGGUUCAAGCAAUUCUCCUGCCUCAGCCUCCCGAGUAGCUGGGAUCACAGGUGCUCGCCAUCAUGCCCAGCUAAUUUUGUAUUUUUAGUAGAGACAGGGUUUCACCAUGUUGGCCAGGCUGGUCUCGAACUCCUGACCUCAAGUGAUCCACCUGCCUUGGCUUCCCAAAGUGCUGGGAUUACAGGCAUGAGCCACCGCGCCCAGCUCCUUUUCAUUAAUUUCUGUUUAGGGUGUAGGGUCUGUUUGAUUUCUUUUGCACAUGCGGACAUCUAGUUGUCCCAGCACCAUUGUGGGACCAUUUUCUGCAUUGUGGUGCCUUUGAAUCUUCUCAGAAGAUGAGUUGACUAUAUUUAUAUGGGUCUAUUUCUGGGUCCCCUAAUCUGUUCUAUUAUUUGUCUCUCCUUUUACCAAUAACACACUGGUUUGGUAACUGCAGCUUUGUAGUAAGUCUUCUAGUCAGGUAGCGUCAGUCCUCCAACUCUGCUCCUCUCCUUCAGUAUUGAAUUGAUUAUUCUGGGUCUUUUGCCUCUCCAUAAAAACUUUAGGAUCAUCUGUUAAUAUCCACAAAAUAACUUGCAGGGAUUUUGAUUGAAAUUGCAUUGAAUCUAUAGAUCAAGCUGGAAGGAACAAACAUGUUGAAAAUACUGAGUCUUCUUAUCCAUAAACAUGGAAUUUUUCUCCAUUUAUUUGGUUCUUCUUUUGUUCAUCAGGGUUUUGUAGUUUUUCUCAUAUAUAUAGAAAGAGUACACUUUUUUUAGACUUGUACCUAAGUAUUUUAUUGUUUGGGGGUGCUAAAGUAGAAGUACUUUGUUUUUAACUUCAAAUCCACUCAUCCAUUGUUGGUAUAUAGGAAAGUGAUUAACUUUUGUAUAUUUUGAAAUCUUGAAUAGUUGUUCAUUAUUCUAGGGGAUUUUCUUGAUCCCUUUUUACACUUUCUACCUGGAAAAUGUCAUUUGUGAACAAAGAGAGUUUGUUUCUUCUUUCAGUAUCAUUAAACUUUAACUUCCUUUUCUUGCCUUGUUCCAUCUGUUAGAGCUUAAAGUGCUGAAAGGAGAUGGUGAGAGCGGAUGUAUGGGCCUUGGUCGUGAUUUUAGUGGGAAAGUUUCUACAUUCUUACUACUGUAUAUCAUGUUAGUUUUGAGGUCCAGUGGACAAGGAAUGGUCAAGUGACACAAAAGGCCUCACCUGAUAUUGCAAGGACUUGCUGACAGUGAGAGGUCAGGGACAGGGGAGACCCCACCCACACUGUGAAGUCCUGAGAACAGCGAGGGGUCAGGGACAGAGGAGACCCCACUCACACUGUGAGGUCCUGAGGACAGGGUGCAGCCUCUUCCAGGCUUGAUGGGGGUCUGCACGGUGGCUGCAGGCAUGGUGAGCCCUUGCUGCCGGCUCCCAGCACUGACAGGAGGGGGGGCCAUGGUGUCCGCAUGCCUUGGGCUAGGCUUGAGGGCCAACACUGGCCUCCUUGGGGUGUCCAGACAGGCUGGGAGCACUCACUCACCUGUGGCCUUAGUGGAAGGACCCCAGAGGGGACAGGGCAAGGUCUCCUUCUGCAGGCUGCUAAGUAUAAACCAAAUAAGAAAAAGCAGAAAACAAUUUCCCAGAUCAAACAAAAAAUAACAUCAGAGUGCUGGAUGCAGUCAUGCUAAUUUCACUUUUGGCUAAAACCGAGACGAU